UUUGUUACAUCAUGGAACUGAGGAGUUGAGAGUUAUGAGAGCAGCAUCCCACAGAGGGGACAAAUGCAAGGCCAUUAUAGGAAAGGGUAAUAUAAGAUCUACUCACAAAUAAAGAUGAGCAUUUUGGAAAGGGCCUGGUGCUGCCCAUACUCCCCCUGGACCAUCCCUGCCCUCACAUAAACCAGUCAAUGAUGCUGAGGAACAUUCAGUAGCCAUCAAACAAGAAACACUCCGAGGAAACCAAUGAGUAGCACUUUCCCAUCUUUGCCUCAGGAACUCUGCCUCCUGGUAGGAAGGGUCCAGCAGAGUGGUGACCUGGUGAUAUAUAUAUAUAUAUAUAGGCUGUGCUGUCCAUCAUGCAGGCACUGGCCUGUUGAGGAACCAAUCACACUGAGGCCACUGAGAGUGAAUGACUGUUAUAAAUUAUUCUCUCGUCUGUGAUGAUUUUCUGGUGCCACAUGGAGUCACAUGGAGGAUGCAUAACCUGGAAGCACUAACUUACAUUGGUCUUCAGAUACAAGCAAAGUUCAAAUCUGUUUGAUUUCAUAAUGAUCCACUUCAACUUGAAAUGAUAGGAUUAGAGCCUGGAUUUUAUAGUGUAGUUAACUUUUUCAUAAAAUGUGUUACUGAAACUUCUGUUGUUGUUGUUGUUGUUGUUGUUGCUAUAUGUCAAAUUGCCUACUGCUGUAGUAAACAACCCACAUGAACUGACAAGGUCUCCUGCCUUUGAUGGAAACACAUGGUCUUGGGAGAAAUUAACCAGGUUAAAGGGAUUGUUAUCAGAGUGAUAGUUGAAUUUUGAGAAAAUGGGUGUGCCAACAUUUAAGACAUGAAAAAAAUAGAGGUUCUUAUAAUGUUUAUCUCUUGUACUUAAUAAAUUACCAUAAAGCUAAGAAGUAUUUGUAGAG
RNAcentral lists this long non-coding RNA (908 nucleotides) under Vulpes vulpes (red fox). RNAcentral describes it as "lncRNA (ENSVVUG00000002987.1)". The record is from RNAcentral. Lineage: Eukaryota; Metazoa; Chordata; Mammalia; Carnivora; Canidae.